AAUGAACGCUGGCGGCAUGGAUUAGGCAUGCAAGUCGAACGGGUCCCUUCGGGGACCAGUGGCGCAAGGGUGAGUAACACGUGAGCAACCUGCCCCCGAAUCCGGAAUAAUCCAGGGAAACUUGGUCUAAAACCGGAUGUUGGCUGUUUUCCGCAUGGGAGACCGCCGAAAUAUUCAUAGUUCGGGGAUGGGCUCGCGUCCCAUUAGCUUGUUGGCGGGGUAACGGCCCACCAAGGCUACGACGGGUAGGUGGUCUGAGAGGAUGGUCACCCACACUGGGACUGAGACACUGCCCAGACUCCUACGGGAGGCUGCAGUCGAGAAUCUUCCGCAAUGGGCGCAAGCCUGACGGAGCGAUGCCGCGUGAGGGAAGAAGGCCUUCGGGUCGUAAACCUCUGUCACCCGGGACGAAACAAAUGACGGUACCGGGAAAGGAAGCCACGGCUAACCACGUAG
Molecule: ribosomal RNA, 456 nt
Filed under: uncultured bacterium
Lineage: Bacteria
Description: bacterial SSU rRNA
Rfam family: Bacterial small subunit ribosomal RNA
Source: RNAcentral